Molecule: ribosomal RNA, 253 nt
Filed under: uncultured bacterium
Lineage: Bacteria
Description: partial 16S ribosomal RNA
Rfam family: Bacterial small subunit ribosomal RNA
Source: RNAcentral
UACGUAGGGCGCAAGCGUUGUCCGGAAUCAUUGGGCGUAAAGAGCUCGUAGGCGGCCUGUUGCGUCCGCUGUGAAAUCCCGGGGCUUAACCCCGGGCGUGCAGUGGAUACGGGCCGGCUGGAGGCAGGCAGGGGAGAACGGAAUUCCCGGUGUAGCGGUGAAAUGCGCAGAUAUCGGGAGGAACACCGGUGGCGAAGGCGGUUCUCUGGGCCUGUACUGACGCUGAGGAGCGAAAGCGUGGGGAGCGAACAGG